This 497-nucleotide ribosomal RNA is filed under the name uncultured bacterium. Its description in RNAcentral is "partial 16S ribosomal RNA". It matches the Rfam family "Bacterial small subunit ribosomal RNA", at positions 28 to 507 of the family's 1533-position model. The record is from RNAcentral.
GAUGAACGCUGGCGGCGUGCCUAAUACAUGCAAGUCGAGCGAACAGACGAGGAGCUUGCUCCUCUGACGUUAGCGGCGGACGGGUGAGUAACACGUGGAUAACCUACCUAUAAGACUGGGAUAACUUCGGGAAACCGGAGCUAAUACCGGAUAAUAUAUUGAACCGCAUGGUUCAAUAGUGAAAGACGGUUUUGCUGUCACUUAUAGCUGGAUCCGCGCCGCAUUAGCUAGUUGGUAAGGUAACGGCUUACCAAGGCGACGAUGCGUAGCCGACCUGAGAGGGUGAUCGGCCACACUGGAACGGAGACACGGUCCAGACUCCUACGGUAGGCAGCAGUAGGGAAUCUUCCGCAAUGGGCGAAAGCCUGACGGAGCAACGCCGCGUGAGUGAUGAAGGUCUUCGGAUCGUAAAGCUCUGUUAUUAGGGAAGAACAACUGUGUAAGUAACUAUGCACGUCUUGACGGUACCUAAUCAGAAAGCCACGGCUAACUACGUG